GUGCUCACUUCGGCAUCACAUAUACUAAAAUUAGAACAAUAUGGAGAUUAGCAUGGUCCCUACACAAAGAAGAGAUGCAAAUUUGUGGAGCAUUCCAUAUUUUU
Small nuclear RNA from Otolemur garnettii (small-eared galago), 104 nucleotides. The record is from Ensembl. Lineage: Eukaryota; Metazoa; Chordata; Mammalia; Primates; Galagidae.